This is a long non-coding RNA of Patiria miniata (bat star), 897 nucleotides long. RefSeq lists it as uncharacterized. The record is from RefSeq and is a predicted model, not a curated record. NCBI's taxonomy places the organism in Eukaryota, Metazoa, Echinodermata, Asteroidea, Valvatida, Asterinidae. The transcript is spliced from 2 exons.
AGCGGAAAUCCUCCAGAAAACCUCAAAAAACGCACGAUUUUUUCCUUUUUGAGAACAUAACUUUUGAACCCUCGAUGCUUUCAAGUUCGUUCUUUCGGCAAAUUGAAAGUUCAUUAUUCCUCUUUUUAAUGAUAUUUUUAGAUUAUUUUUUAAUUACUUUAAAGAUCCGUCAUUUUUCAAGUACAAACAGUCGGUAUCUCCAAUUUUACAAUGCAAAAACGAUGUUCACGAAGAAUCCUGUCACACAAUGCGGCUCAUAUGAACUCACAACUCUGGACGCCCUCUACCGAUUUCUUUCGUUCGAGCUAUAAAAUAAACAGCAUGAGUUUGUCCAAAGCUAAUGUAAAAAUGAAGUUGAUUGGCCAAUGUUAAAGCCCGUCCAUUUCAGCCUAAAGUUUUUGCGCUAAUCAGAAGCGUUGUUUGAAACUGCAUUGGAACGUGUACGAUCAACAGAUGAUAAUCGACCUACUCCCAUCGUUGUGCUGCCAACUUGCUGUUUCUCUCCGAAUCCGAUGGAAUUAAGGACGAAGAAAAAGAUAGACUAUUGUGCCCUUGACAGAGGUGGGCCCAUCAAAGCUGUGGCGGAGAAGACGUGGCCAACAGCAAAAGCUGUGGUGAUUUGAGAAAAUAGACCGCCCAAUCAGAGGAAGUCAGAGCUGCCAUUUCUUUAGCCACAUUUAUCUCAUUGCCAGAGCUUACUUUUGCCACCAAAUUAGAACUAUUUUAUGUUAAACAUCAUGUAAAUGAAUGUACACAAAUGUACAUGUACGUAUGUUAGUUGUUCCUGAUAGCCAUUGUAAAUGUAUUGUGUAUUUUGAUGUUUUAUAUUGUAUGUUAUAAUUGUCUUUUAUCCAUACGCCUUGUUUGACGUGUGUGAAAUAAAAUAAAACAGGAAUA